Molecule: ribosomal RNA, 95 nt
Filed under: Solemya velum gill symbiont
Lineage: Bacteria; Pseudomonadati; Pseudomonadota; Gammaproteobacteria
Source: RNAcentral
GUCUACGGCCAUACCACGUUGAAAGCACCGGUUCUCGUCCGAUCACCGAAGUUAAGCAACGUCGGGCCCGGUUAGUACUUGGAUGGGUGACCGCC